GAGGGAAAAGUUGCAAAGAACUUUGAAGAGAGAGUUCAAGAGUACGUGAAACUGCUCGGAAAGGAAACGGGGUGGAUCCUUCGAGUCCAAAGGGGGGACGGGAUUCAGUGGCGGGCCGCGAGGGGUGUCCGAGCCUCGUAUUCCUCUCGGGGAAACGAGUGACGAGCACCGUUCUCCGGCCAGUCGCGCACUUCUCGCUCCCGACGGACGCCGCAGCCGGUCACGCGUCGGCAGUGAGGACUGACCGGGCGAUGGCGUGGGCGUCGACCUCGCGUCGGCGUCCCGAUUCUGUACCGGUCGCCGUCCCGGUGCGACGCGGGUCCGAGGGAAGAGCACGUCUCGCACGUGCGUGCCGUGGUCUCGCCAGAAAUGGAAGGAGCGGGAGAGCGGUCCGGUUCUACCGGGUCGGCCGGCCAGCUGUGGGGUGGUCGGUCGGCGAGUGGGGUUCCGGAAGAUCGCGACCCACCCGCUGAUUUGCGAACCGUCGGCUUGCGGCGAGUAGGUCGGUAACCCACCCGACCCGUCUUGAAACACGGACCAAGGAGUCUGACUUGUGCUCGAGUCAGUGGGACUCGAAUAAGCCCACGGGCGUAAUGAAAGUGAAUGGACGUUCUAGUUCGUCGUGAUCCCGCAUCUCCUGAUCGGGCGCAGCGACAGUCCGCCCGCAA
RNAcentral lists this ribosomal RNA (668 nucleotides) under Panjange kapit. RNAcentral describes it as "partial 28S ribosomal RNA". It matches the Rfam family "Eukaryotic large subunit ribosomal RNA", at positions 355 to 775 of the family's 3401-position model. The record is from RNAcentral. Lineage: Eukaryota; Metazoa; Arthropoda; Arachnida; Araneae; Pholcidae.